UUUCCGUAGGUGAACCUGCGGAAGGAUCAUUGUUGGAUUUUGAAACUUCAGGCUGCUGCUGGCUCUCCUCGGCGGGCAUGUGCACGCUUGUUGUCCAUUAUUUCUCCCACUGUGCACAAAUUGUAGACCUUUCAGUAGGCCUAUGUUGUUUUUCACAAUCCCUGAAUGUAAUAGAAUGGUUUUGAAUCUUGGGAAAUACAAUACAACUUUCAGCAACGGAUCUCUUGGCUCUC
RNAcentral lists this unclassified non-coding RNA (233 nucleotides) under plant metagenome. RNAcentral's name for it is "partial contains small subunit ribosomal RNA, internal transcribed spacer 1, and 5.8S ribosomal RNA". The record is from RNAcentral.